GACGAACGCUGGCGGCGUGCUUAACACAUGCAAGUCGAACGGUAAGGCCCUGCUUUUGUGGGGUGCUCGAGUGGCGAACGGGUGAGUAACACGUGAGUAACCUGCCCUUGACUUUGGGAUAACUUCAGGAAACUGUGGCUAAUACCGGAUAGGAGCUCCUGCUGCAUGGUGGGUGUUUGAAAGUUUCGGCGGUUGGGGUUGGACUCGCGGCUUAUCAGCUUGUUGGUGGGGUAGUGGAUUACCAAGGCUUUGACGGGUAGCCGGCCUGAGAGGGUGACCGGCCACAUAGGGACUGAGAUACGGGCAAGACUGAUACGGGAGGAAGCGGUGGGGAAUAGUGCACAAUGGGCGGAAGCCUGAUGCAGCAACGCCGCGUGCGGGAUGACGGCCGUAGGGUUGGAAACAGCUUUAGCCUGUGACGAAGAGUGAGUGACGGUAAUGGGUAAAGAAGCACCGGCUAACUACGUG
This 468-nucleotide ribosomal RNA is filed under the name uncultured bacterium. RNAcentral describes it as "partial 16S ribosomal RNA". It matches the Rfam family "Bacterial small subunit ribosomal RNA", at positions 28 to 507 of the family's 1533-position model. The record is from RNAcentral.